GUUGAGCGUGAAAAAACCCAGCAGCAUUGCAGUUCUUGACACAAACCGGUGCACCUGGCACCUACUACCGUACCCCGUUCAUAGGCACUUAAAUCUUUUGCCUUACCGAUUUAACCUUUUUGAAUGGCUUAUAGACAAUCCAUGUCUCAAUUAUCUCAAGACUACAUUUUUUUAAAUCUUAAUCUCCUCCGUUCCAUCUAUACUGAUUGAAGUUGAUUUAACAAGUGACAUCAUAGCUUUUCACCUGGUCAGUCUGUGAUGGGAAGGAGAUCCUUCAGUUCCGUCCAUUCAUCUUCUCAUUAUUUCACAUGUCCUCAAAUACAGCUGACUUGUACUGUGGACAGACAGGUACGUUUUUAUAUUUAUAAGGUAAAUGUAUGUGUUUAAUAGUACUGCAGAAGUUUGAAUGUAAUUACAAUAAAACGAAUGACAAUACUAUUGUCUUGUAGGAUUGUAUUCUCUGUCCAUCAAGUCAAUAGGGAAACAAUGUCAACAGACACGGUGUUCCAGACUCCAGAUAGAUACCUAGUUUUAGAUAGAUGUUCCAGACUCCAGACAAGGUGUUCCAGACUCCAGACAAGGUGUUCCAGACACGGUGUUCCAGACUCCAGACACGGUGUUCCAGACUCCAGACACGGUGUUCCAGACACGGUGUUCCAGACUCCAGAUAGAUACCUAGUUUUAGAUAGAUGUUCCAGACUCCAGACACGGUGUUCCAGACUCCAGAUAGAUACCUAGUUUUAGAUAGAUGUUCCAGACUCCAGACAAGGUGUUCCAGACUCCAGACAAGGUGUUCCAGACUCCAGGCACGGUGUUCCAGACUCCAGAUAGAUACCUAGUUUUAGAUAGAUGUUCCAGACUCCAGACAAGGUGUUCCAGACUCCAGAUAGAUACCUAGUUUUAGAUAGAUGUUCCAGACUCCAGACAAGGUGUUCCAGACUCCAGAUAGAUACCUAGUUUUAGAUAGAUGUUCCAGACUCCAGACACGGUGUUCCAGACUCCAGAUAGAUACCUAGUUUUAGAUAGAUGUUCCAGACUCCAGACAAGGUGUUCCAGACUCCAGGCACGGUGUUCCAGACUCCAGACACGGUGUUCCAGACUCCAGAUAGAUACCUAGUUUUAGAUAGAUGUUCCAGACUCCAGACAAGGUGUUCCAGACUCCAGAUAGAUACCUAGUUUUAGAUAGAUGUUCCAGACUCCAGACAAGGUGUUCCAGACUCCAGACAAGGUGUUCCAGACUCCAGACAAGGUGUUCCAGACUCCAGGCACGGUGUUCCAGACUCCAGAUAGAUACCUAGUUUUAGAUAGAUGUUCCAGACUCCAGACAAGGUGUUCCAGACUCCAGACACGAUGUUCCAGACUCCAGACAAGGUGUUCCAGACUCCAGACAAGGUGUUCCAGACUCCAGACAAGGUGUUCCAGACUCCAGGCACGGUGUUCCAGACUCCAGACAA
Salvelinus namaycush (lake trout) is the source of this 1454-nucleotide long non-coding RNA. RefSeq lists it as uncharacterized. The record is from RefSeq and is a predicted model, not a curated record. The transcript is spliced from 3 exons. NCBI's taxonomy places the organism in Eukaryota, Metazoa, Chordata, Actinopteri, Salmoniformes, Salmonidae.